Molecule: small RNA, 77 nt
Organism: Xanthomonas oryzae pv. oryzae
Lineage: Bacteria; Pseudomonadati; Pseudomonadota; Gammaproteobacteria; Lysobacterales; Lysobacteraceae
Rfam family: Xanthomonas sRNA sX9
Source: Rfam
AUGUACCACGCGUCCACUGCGGUUCUGAGCGCUACGUCCGCACCCACUUGACGACUGCUCGCUACGUUUUGUUAGCC